Molecule: ribosomal RNA, 492 nt
Filed under: uncultured bacterium
Lineage: Bacteria
Description: bacterial SSU rRNA
Rfam family: Bacterial small subunit ribosomal RNA
Source: RNAcentral
AUUGAACGCUGGCGGCAUGCCUUACACAUGCAAGUCGAACGGUAACGGGCCUUCGGGUGCCGACGAGUGGCGAACGGGUGAGUAAUGCAUCGGAACGUACCUUUCAGUGGGGGAUAACGUAGCGAAAGUUACGCUAAUACCGCAUAUUCUGUGAGCAGGAAAGCAGGGGAUCGCAAGACCUUGCGCUGAUUGAGCGGCCGAUGUCAGAUUAGCUAGUUGGUGAGGUAAAGGCUCACCAAGGCGACGAUCUGUAGCGGGUCUGAGAGGAUGAUCCGCCACACUGGAACUGAGACACGGUCCAGACUCCUACGGGAGGCAGCAGUGGGGAAUUUUGGACAAUGGGGGCAACCCUGAUCCAGCCAUGCCGCGUGAGUGAAGAAGGCCUUCGGGUUGUAAAGCUCUUUCGGCCGGGAAGAAAUCGUAUGGGUUAAUACCCUGUGCGGAUGACGGUACCGGCAUAAGAAGCACCGGCUAACUACGUGCCAGCAGCCG